UACAGAGGUCUCAAGCGUUGUUCGGAUUCAUUGGGCGUAAAGAGCGCGCAGGCGGUCGUUCAAGUCGCGUGUGAAAGCCCCCGGCUCAACUGGGGAGGGUCACGCGAUACUGAUCGACUCGAAGGCAGGAGAGGGUAGUGGAAUUCCCGGUGUAGUGGUGAAAUGCGUAGAUAUCGGGAGGAACACCAGUGGCGAAGGCGACUACCUGGCCUGUUCUUGACGCUGAGGCGCGAAAGCUAGGGGAGCAAACGGG
This 253-nucleotide ribosomal RNA is filed under the name uncultured bacterium. RNAcentral describes it as "partial 16S ribosomal RNA". It matches the Rfam family "Bacterial small subunit ribosomal RNA", at positions 524 to 776 of the family's 1533-position model. The record is from RNAcentral.